This 403-nucleotide ribosomal RNA is filed under the name Fusobacteriota bacterium. RNAcentral's name for it is "Fusobacteria bacterium partial 16S ribosomal RNA". It matches the Rfam family "Bacterial small subunit ribosomal RNA", at positions 355 to 776 of the family's 1533-position model. Lineage: Bacteria; Fusobacteriati; Fusobacteriota. The record is from RNAcentral.
UGGGGAAUAUUGCACAAUGGGGGAAACCCUGAUGCAGCGACGCCGCGUGAGCGAAGAAGGUUUUCGAAUCGUAAAGCUCUGUCCUAUGGGAAGAUAAUGACGGUACCAUAGGAGGAAGCCCCGGCUAACUACGUGCCAGCAGCCGCGGUAAUACGUAGGGGGCAAGCGUUGUCCGGAAUCACUGGGCGUAAAGGGUUCGCAGGCGGAAAUGCAAGUCAGUUGUGAAAGGCAGAGGCUCAACCUCUGUAAGCAAUUGAAACUGUAUUUCUUGAGAUGAGGAGAGGCAAGUGGAAUUCCUAGUGUAGCGGUGAAAUGCGUAGAUAUUAGGAAGAAUACCGGUGGCGAAGGCGACUUGCUGGACACAAACUGACGCUGGGGAACGAAAGCGUGGGUAGCAAACAGG